AGUGGGAAAUCUUGAGCAAUGGGCGAAAGCCUGACGCAGCACCGCCGCGUGGUGGAUGAAGGCCUCCGGGUUGUAAACUCUGUCAGGGGGGACGAAUGCCGCGAGGGCAUCUUGACUGUACCCUUUGAGGAAGCUCCGGCUAACUCCGUGCCAGCAGCCCGGUAAUACGGUGGUGGCAAGCGUUGUUCGGAAUUACUGGGCGUAAAGGGCGCGUAGACGGCUUGGCAAGUCAGAUGUGAAAGCCCCGGGCUUAACCUGGGAACUGCAUUUGAAACUGCUUUGCUUGAGUCCUGGAAAGGGUAGUGGAAUUCCCAGUGUAGCGGUGAAAUGCGUAGAUAUUGGGAGGAACACCAGUGGCGAAGGCGGCUUCCUGGACAGUUACUGUCGCUGAGGCGCGAAAGCUAGGGGGCAAACAGGAUUAGAUACCCCGGUACUCCUAGCCGUAAACGAUGGGCACUUGGUGUUGGGGGUAUUGACCACCUCGGUGCGAAGUUAACGCAUUAAGUGCCCCGCCUGGGGAGUACGGUCACA
RNAcentral lists this ribosomal RNA (531 nucleotides) under uncultured Acidobacteriota bacterium. RNAcentral's name for it is "bacterial SSU rRNA". It matches the Rfam family "Bacterial small subunit ribosomal RNA", at positions 353 to 890 of the family's 1533-position model. The record is from RNAcentral. Lineage: Bacteria; Pseudomonadati; Acidobacteriota.